GGCCUGACGCCGCAGAUGGGGUGACUGGACUACCGACGAAUCAUCAUCUUUUCCAGCGUUCAGAAUCGCGCGCGGAGGCUUCCGCCCGAUGCUCUCUCUCGGGUGUUUGUGAUCCGAGCUUGGGUGCUGCUUUUCUUCUCCGACUGAUCCCUCGUUCCCGCGGUCCCAGGUGGAGCAGAGCAGCUGGAACCACUUCCAGUGCGACAUCAACGAGACGGUCGUCCGGAGCACCGCGGACGCGCUCGUCGCCACCGGCCUCGCCAGGGCAGGGUACACGUACGUCAACCUAGAUGACUGCUGGGCAGAUUACCAAAGGACCAAAAAGGUAUAUCACCAGUAGUGCUAGCUAUUUCAGCUCAUCGUCAGUUACUGUACCUUUGCUGUUGGUUCCUGCACUGAGCAUUGUUCCAGCACGAUCGGUCUAGCUGCAAACUAGAACAGAUUAUCUUUGCUAGUAAUUGACUUGCUGACAGGGGUACCUGGUCGCUAAUCCCAAGACGUUCCCAUCUGGGAUCAAGGCCCUGGCGGAUUAUGUCCACGGCAAGGGGCUUAAGCUUGGCCUCUACUCUUCAGCUGGGUACGCAUCUACAACAGUGGAAAUUUUUUGGGAGGGGGGAGCAAUGAGGUGGAUCCAGCACAUUUGUCUUGUCCGGAAGUUCAGUUUUUGCACUUCUAGCAACUUUGUAACACAAGAUCUGCAUUUUUGCAUCAGGGGAUGUCUUUUUUCCUGUGGAUCUCUUUUUGUUGCUGGAACCCUAAAAACAUGUAUCUGUAGAUGAUGGGCACAUAUAAAAAUCUCUUGUGUCUGUUUUGCUUUUGUGUGCGGCAA
Molecule: long non-coding RNA, 829 nt
Organism: Panicum hallii
Lineage: Eukaryota; Viridiplantae; Streptophyta; Magnoliopsida; Poales; Poaceae
Exons: 4
Source: RefSeq, a predicted model, not a curated record